Molecule: ribosomal RNA, 767 nt
Filed under: Alexandrium catenella
Lineage: Eukaryota; Dinophyceae; Gonyaulacales; Pyrocystaceae
Description: LSU rRNA
Rfam family: Eukaryotic large subunit ribosomal RNA
Source: RNAcentral
UUGAAUUGUAUUGUGGAAAUGUAUUACCAACAGAGGUGCAGGUGCCAGCCUAUUGAAAUAAAGCGUCAAUGAGGGUGAGAAUCCUGUUUGUCAUGUGCAGCCCUUUGUGCACGGUGUAUAUUUGCUGAGUCACACUCCUUGGCAUUGGAAUGCAAAGUGGGUGGUAAGUUUCAUGUAAAGGUAAACAUGCAAUUGAGACUGAUAGCACACAAGUACCAUGAGGGAAAUAUGAAAAGGACUUUGAAAAGAGAAUUAAAUGAGUUUGUAUUUGCUGAACACAAAGUAAACAGACUUGAUUUGCUUGGUGGGAGUGUUGCACUUGCUUGACAAGAGCUUUGGGCUGUGGGUGUAAUGAUUCUUUCUUUGCAUGCCAGUUUCUAUUUGUACAUCUGAUUACCUUUGCACAUGAAUGAUAAGUCUCCUGUGGGGGGUGGAUUGCAUGUGCAUGUAAUGAUUUGUGUUUUGAUAAAUGUGUCUGGUGUAUGUGUGUGUGUUCCUGUGCUUGGGGAUGCUUCCUUCCUUGGACUUACAAGCCCUGACACACACAUGCUGGCAAAAUGCUUCUGCUUGACCCGUCUUGAAACACGGACCAAGGAGUCUAACAGAUGUGCAAAGUUUGAAGGUGGUAUACCUUUGUGUGCAAUGAAAGUGUCAGCUGGGAUAUGUGCCCCCGCCCCCCAUUAAUUAGCGGACAGAGGUUUGAAUUGGAAGCAUAUCUAUUAGGACCCCAAAAAAGGGGAACUAUGCCUGAACAGAAUGAAUUCCAA